This is a long non-coding RNA of Suncus etruscus (white-toothed pygmy shrew), 210 nucleotides long. RefSeq lists it as uncharacterized. The transcript is spliced from 3 exons. The record is from RefSeq and is a predicted model, not a curated record. NCBI's taxonomy places the organism in Eukaryota, Metazoa, Chordata, Mammalia, Eulipotyphla, Soricidae.
CAUGGACCCACUUGAUGAAAGGAUGAGUGAAUUCUUGUCAGAGAAGUAAACAUCUAGGCCACAUGAAAAUCAAGACACACAGGUAUUGCUCAGGAGCUACUCCAAGCUUGGUGGUUCUCAGCUUUUCGGUCAUACCCAACGUGGCUAAGGAGCUACUACCAGCACAGUGCUUGGGAGUCACCCCAGUAGCUUGAGGUACCAUGAGGUGAU